UCCGUGAACCAGCACCACACAAUUUCCCCAUUAACGAAAAAAGAAAAAACAAGAUUAGUUCCUCUUGUAUGCUUUCAUUAAAGGCCAAUAGCAAUAGCUCUCUCUCCUCUCUCAGUGUCUCUCACACUGAUCUAGCAAUCUCCUAAACCAAUCUGACAUCAUCUCCUCCUACCCACGACAAUUCCAACGAGCAGCAACACUGUUGUCGUCAACCUUAUCCCGGUCAUGACCCAACGAUAACUACCAUUAGUUGGUUCUUUAGCAGAGAUAACCUCACAUUCUUUUCUUCUCUUUUAGACACUAGCCCACACAUGCCAACCAUCGGUAACAACCUCCCCAUCCAAAAAUUAGCAACAUAAUCUCGUAGCUCCAAAACUAUCACCGACCAACGCCUUCUCCUCCUAAACCACAAUGCAAGGCACUCUUCAUGGCAGAUCCACAAUAACCCAACAAUAACAAUCAGAAAAGAGAAGAAGAAAUUACAGUAGAGAAAGAGAGAGGCAGAUCUUAAAAAAAUAAAAAUAAAUAAAAACUACUAUCUUGUGUUGAUUUCUUUGUCUUGCAGGGAGUGGUGAUACUCACCGCCAGUAGGGAAAGGAAGAGGUGAAAGAGUCGCUUCAAAGCCACCAAUUUUUGCUCUUCAAUUAAUGACGACAUGUUGUUCCAUGCACCCACAGUGACGAUGGUGUGAGGAACCCCCAAGCUGCCAAUACUCCCUCAUGUCUAGUGCAUUCCUAUAACUUCUGACAUUUUUUUGUUCAGAAGGUGUUUUGCAAAUUUUGGAUGACUUUGUGUUUUUUUUUUUUUUUUUUUUUUGAUUUACGUGGGGUGUCCGGGCCAGCUUACGCGCACCACGACUAUUCCCCACGGCCCACUGGACAUCCUGCAAGCCCAGGAGCAGGUAAGGCACCGCGGGGGUGACAGGCGUGCACAUAAAGGGUCGAACCCGGGACGGGGGCGGAACAAGUCACACGGUUGACCACAGCAGCUAGACCCUCAAGUGCGACUUUGUGUGUUUUGAUUACAUGUAAUAUGUGUAAUCGUAAGUGUGUGAGAGUUAAUUAGUGAAAGAGAUCAGGUGUGUAUGAUGUAUGGUGCCGCACAUGGAUGUGCGGGGUCGUUUGGAGCCGGAAUCUAAUUGUUUGGUUCAAGGUUGUCAGGUAAUCUAGGUGUACUGGUCUUGUCAGAACUUCGAGGAUAACAGACUAGUUGUGGUUAAGAAAAGUAUUAACACCUCUAACGUACCCUACCUGAAGUAAGUUGCUUUGUGGUUUAGAGGUUUUGAUGGUUUUUUAGUUUUUUUGUAAUUUAGGAUUGAGAUUACUCAUAUGAAUAAAUCUGGUGUUUAAAAAUUUAUAAUAGACUCGUGUACCCAUAUAAAUUCUUAGAAAAAAAUUCUUUGUAAUUUGAGUAUUACGGUGAAAAAUACUCAAUUAAAAUUGAUGAAUAUUUAGAAUAACUAAGAAUUUUCUGUUCAACUCUGAUAUUUUAAAUACCAACCUCACUUAUAGGUCCAACAUUAUAUACUAAGAUUUUUAACCAUUAAUUCUCAUGAAUUAAAAAAUAGUGAUUUAUUGAAAUAUUGGCUAAAUUCUCAUGAAUUUAAUAAACUGAUUAUUAAAUCCUAAAAUGCAUGCAAAUAUGUAUUUUGAAUUUUUAUAUGGAAAUACUACGCAAUAUGAUUUCUUUGUAUUUUUUGAGACACUCGGCCAAAUACAAUACAAAAAAAC
Molecule: long non-coding RNA, 1730 nt
Filed under: Populus trichocarpa (black cottonwood)
Lineage: Eukaryota; Viridiplantae; Streptophyta; Magnoliopsida; Malpighiales; Salicaceae
Description: long non-coding RNA (PTRI_LNC001782)
Source: RNAcentral